UGGGCGUGUCUAGAGUGAGCGGAUACUCAGGAGGUCGUAUGAUGAUCAAGUGUGAACAUCCUCAAUACAAAACCAAGACAAAAUACAUCUGUAAAGAAUCAGAUGGAUGUUCAGAGAGGAAGAAUCCAGGAGUUCAGGAUGAAUGGAUGGAGAAUGGAGAUGUUUCUUUAUAUGACGACACCAGAGCAGGAGUCUUGAUGGUGUUUUUUAGAGAGCUGAAAGCUGCAGAUGCAGGAACAUACAGGUGUGGAGUGAAUGUGUCUCACUAUACUGAGAGCUUCACUGAACUUCAGCUGAACGUCACAGAUGAUGCAACGUUUGUGACUAAAUCUGCUCAUCUUGGUGAAGAAGUCAACAUCAUCUGUCAGAUCCCAGAGGAACAUAAAGUUCAUUUCUGCAAAGAGG
Ctenopharyngodon idella (grass carp) is the source of this 405-nucleotide long non-coding RNA. RefSeq lists it as uncharacterized. The record is from RefSeq and is a predicted model, not a curated record. Lineage: Eukaryota; Metazoa; Chordata; Actinopteri; Cypriniformes; Xenocyprididae. The transcript has 3 exons.